AUGUUGGGUUAAGUCCCGCAACGAGCGCAACCCUCAUCCUUAGUUGCCAUCAGGUAAUGCUGAGUACUUUAAGGAAACUGCCAGUGAUAAGCUGGAGGAAGGUGGGGAUGAUGUCAAGUCAUCAUGGCCUUUAUGGAGUGGGCUACACACGUGCUACAAUGGUGUCUACAAUGGGCUGCAAGGUGCGCAAGCCUAAGCUAAUCCCUAAAAGACAUCUCAGUUCGGAUUGCACUCUGCCACUCG
RNAcentral lists this ribosomal RNA (243 nucleotides) under Wolbachia endosymbiont of Anopheles arabiensis. RNAcentral's name for it is "partial 16S ribosomal RNA". It matches the Rfam family "Bacterial small subunit ribosomal RNA", at positions 1072 to 1314 of the family's 1533-position model. The record is from RNAcentral. Lineage: Bacteria; Pseudomonadati; Pseudomonadota; Alphaproteobacteria; Rickettsiales; Anaplasmataceae.